AAAUUAUCAAACCGUCAACCAGAAGUAAACACAUCACUUUGGACCACUCAAAGACACAGUCUACCUGCUGUUUAACCCAGUCUUUGGUCAGAGGUGAAGAAGAGAUGACAUCCUCCACACCAUCCCCCUGCUGCUCUCAACAACCAUCAUCGCUGUGCUGGACAGACUGCAGCACCCACCGGGACCCUUCUCUCAUGGACUACACAAACAUGUGUUUUACCUGCUUGUGCUCCAGAUGUCCUGAAGCAGCUCUCAAGGACCACCAGACACCAGGCUGAAGCAGAACUGAUGCUGUAGUACCUGUCACUCACUGGGCUCGUUCCUGCUGAACCUCCAAGAAAUAAACCCCUCUUCAAGAAAGUCUGAGGUAAUGUCUUGGUGAACUUGUGUUCAUUUAUUUUUUCUUACUUAUCUUAGCUGCUGUAUUAAUGCUUGUGACGCUAUUGUACAGCUCUGCUGAUAUCGUCUUUAACAGCAGUGUUUUCUCCCAGGUCUUCUUCAAGCCAGUUAAGAGAGGAAGAACAGCUUAGACACUCAGGCAGCUGAACGCACCAAAGGUGGACAUCAUGCAGCCACCCUGAGCCUUGAGUCUCUCUGUGUGAGGAAG
This 607-nucleotide long non-coding RNA is filed under the name Xyrichtys novacula (pearly razorfish). Lineage: Eukaryota; Metazoa; Chordata; Actinopteri; Labriformes; Labridae. The record is from RNAcentral.